RNAcentral lists this ribosomal RNA (527 nucleotides) under uncultured bacterium. RNAcentral's name for it is "bacterial SSU rRNA". It matches the Rfam family "Bacterial small subunit ribosomal RNA", at positions 984 to 1509 of the family's 1533-position model. The record is from RNAcentral.
ACAUCCAGUAGAAUUUAGCAGAGAUGCUUUAGUGCCUUCGGGAACUCUGAGACAGGUGCUGCAUGGCUGUCGUCAGCUCGUGUUGUGAAAUGUUGGGUUAAGUCCCGCAACGAGCGCAACCCUUAUCCUUUGUUGCCAGCACGUAAUGGUGGGAACUCAAAGGAGACUGCCGGUGAUAAACCGGAGGAAGGUGGGGAUGACGUCAAGUCAUCAUGGCCCUUACGAGUAGGGCUACACACGUGCUACAAUGGCGCAUACAAAGAGAAGCGACCUCGCGAGAGCAAGCGGACCUCAUAAAGUGCGUCGUAGUCCGGAUUGGAGUCUGCAACUCGACUCCAUGAAGUCGGAAUCGCUAGUAAUCGUAAAUCAGAAUGUUACGGUGAAUACGUUCCCGGGCCUUGUACACACCGCCCGUCACACCAUGGGAGUGGGUUGCAAAAGAAGUAGAUAGCUUAACCUUCGGGAGGGCGUUUACCACUUUGUGAUUCAUGACUGGGGUGAAGUCGUAACAAGGUAAGCGUAGUGCU